This 575-nucleotide long non-coding RNA is filed under the name Elaeis guineensis (African oil palm). RNAcentral describes it as "long non-coding RNA (EGUI_LNC076912)". The record is from RNAcentral. Lineage: Eukaryota; Viridiplantae; Streptophyta; Magnoliopsida; Arecales; Arecaceae.
GGGGAUGGGCUAAGGCUAAAAUUUGCCUCUGCAAUCUAGAAGUCUGCCCGUCAGUCUCAAAACACAUCCCUCAAGCUUCUCAAGUUAUACGGACUGAGCUGUGAGCAUCUGAAAAAUAGUAGAGAUAUGAGGGAUCAAAGUCUGGUCUGAGUCAUCCUGAGAUGUCGACCUCUGAGCAAAGAUUGAGGUGACAAACUGCUGAGAUAAAAUGGAGGCAACACGCUAGGACAUCAGCUCCAUCUGAUCAUCUGCAAGUCUGAACUCUGAAGGAUGUACCCUGCUCCCUAACUGUGGAACUGAAGCAUGCCUCCUCACUGACUUUGAGGGACCAGCCUCAUGAUCAGACACAAACUGAAUAUCAGGAGAUGCUCUGUGAUCACAAGGAGGUGAAGACGGUCUCUUCUCUGCUCUCUUCUCAGCUGGCUCCUCUGUUCUUUUCUCGACACCCUUUGACCAACUGCCAUCAGUCUUUGAAAAACUCAUGCGGUGCAGUGUGUGACAGUUUAUGGUGUCAGAAUGAGACAACCUAGUAACUGUCUCUCCCUCAAAAUUGACUCCGAACCUCCUAAAGACCA